RNAcentral lists this ribosomal RNA (498 nucleotides) under uncultured bacterium. Its description in RNAcentral is "bacterial SSU rRNA". It matches the Rfam family "Bacterial small subunit ribosomal RNA", at positions 30 to 504 of the family's 1533-position model. The record is from RNAcentral.
CGAACGCUGGCGGCGUGCUUAACACAUGCAAGUCGAACGAGAAAGCGGGCUUCGGCCCGUGAGUAGAGUGGCAGACGGGUGAGUAACACGUGGGUAACCUGCCCGGAGGUGGGGAAUAACUCUUCGAAAGGGGAGCUAAUACCGCAUGAUAUCUCGAGAGUUCGCUCUCGAGAUCAAGGCUAGCCUCUUCUUGAAAGCUAGCGCCACCGGAGGGGCCCGCGGCCCAUUAGCUUGUUGGUGAGGUAACGGCUCACCAAGGCUACGAUGGGUAGCCGGCCUGAGAGGGUGAACGGCCACACUGGAACUGGGACACGGUCCAGACUCCUACGGGAGGCAGCAGUGAGGAAUCUUGCGCAAUGGGCGAAAGCCUGACGCAGCGACGCCGCGUGGAGGACGAAGGCCUUCGGGUCGUAAACUCCUGUCAAGUGGGACGAAUGCAGCAGGGAUGAAUAAGUCUUGUUGUUGACGGUACCACUGAAGGAAGCCCCGGCUAACUCC